GUGCGUGCGUUCAACACGCGUGCCGCCAUUGUGGCUGACGCGUCUGUUAAACACGCUAAAGCAAUUCCGGAUUUCGCUAGCACCGAGUCUUGUGACCGGAGUUUGAUAGUAGACCGGAGCACAACA
RNAcentral lists this small nucleolar RNA (126 nucleotides) under Necator americanus (New World hookworm). RNAcentral describes it as "Nematode snoRNA ceN58". It matches the Rfam family "Nematode snoRNA ceN58". The record is from Rfam by way of RNAcentral. Lineage: Eukaryota; Metazoa; Nematoda; Chromadorea; Rhabditida; Ancylostomatidae.